GCCGGGAUGGCGGAAUUGGUAGACGCGGUGGACUUAAAAUCCGCUUCUAAAUUUUAGAGUACCGGUUCAAGUCCGGUUCCCGGUA
RNAcentral lists this transfer RNA (85 nucleotides) under Candidatus Vampirococcus lugosii. Its description in RNAcentral is "tRNA-Leu". It matches the Rfam family "tRNA". From Rfam's summary of the family: Transfer RNA (tRNA) molecules are approximately 80 nucleotides in length. Their secondary structure includes four short double-helical elements and three loops (D, anti-codon, and T loops). The record is from RNAcentral. Lineage: Bacteria; Candidatus Absconditibacteriota.